GGAAGAAGCUUGCUUUCUUUGCUGGCGACCGGCGCACGGGUGAGUAACACGUAUCCAACCUGCCGAUGACUCGGGGAUAGCCUUUCGAAAGAAAGAUUAAUACCCGAUGGUAUAUCUGAAAGGCAUCUUUCAGCUAUUAAAGAAUUUCGGUCAUUGAUGGGGAUGCGUUCCAUUAGGUUGUUGGCGGGGUAACGGCCCACCAAGCCAUCGAUGGAUAGGGGUUCUGAGAGGAAGGUCCCCCACAUUGGAACUGAGACACGGUCCAAACUCCUACGGGAGGCAGCAGUGAGGAAUAUUGGUCAAUGGACGAGAGUCUGAACCAGCCAAGUAGCGUGAAGGAUGACUGCCCUAUGGGUUGUAAACUUCUUUUAUACGGGAAUAAAGUUAGGCACGUGUGCCUUUUUGUAUGUACCGUAUGAAUAAGGAUCGGCUAACUCCGUGCCAGCAGCCGCGGUAAUACGGAGGAUCCGAGCGUUAUCCGGAUUUAUUGGGUUUAAAGGGAGCGUAGGCGGAUGCUUAAGUCAGUUGUGAAAGUUUGCGGCUCAACCGUAAAAUUGCAGUUGAUACUGGGUGUCUUGAGUACAGUAGAGGCAGGCGGAAUUCGUGGUGUAGCGGUGAAAUGCUUAGAUAUCACGAAGAACUCCGAUUGCGAAGGCAGCUUGCUGGACUGUAACUGACGCUGAUGCU
RNAcentral lists this ribosomal RNA (687 nucleotides) under Bacteroides sp. HGA0249. RNAcentral describes it as "bacterial SSU rRNA". It matches the Rfam family "Bacterial small subunit ribosomal RNA", at positions 71 to 753 of the family's 1533-position model. Lineage: Bacteria; Pseudomonadati; Bacteroidota; Bacteroidia; Bacteroidales; Bacteroidaceae. The record is from RNAcentral.